AGAGUUUGAUCCUGGCUCAGAUUGAACGCUGGCGGCAUGCCUUACACAUGCAAGUCGAACGGCAGCGCGGGGGGUAACUCCUGGCGGCGAGUGGCGAACGGGUGAGUAAUAUAUCGGAACGUGCCCUGGAGUGGGGGAUAACUAGUCGAAAGAUUAGCUAAUACCGCAUACGAUCUACGGAUGAAAGUGGGGGAUUCGCAAGAACCUCAUGCUCGUGGAGCGGCCGAUAUCUGAUUAGCUAGUUGGUAGGGUAAAAGCCUACCAAGGCGACGAUCAGUAGCUGGUUUGAGAGAACGACCAGCCACACUGGGACUGAGACACGGCCCAGACUCCUACGGGAGGCAGCAGUGGGGAAUUUUGGACAAUGGGGGCAACCCUGAUCCAGCAAUGCCGCGUGUGUGAAGAAGGCCUUCGGGUUGUAAAGCACUUUUGUCAGGGAAGAAGCGGUGAGGGC
This 454-nucleotide ribosomal RNA is filed under the name uncultured bacterium. Its description in RNAcentral is "bacterial SSU rRNA". It matches the Rfam family "Bacterial small subunit ribosomal RNA", at positions 8 to 460 of the family's 1533-position model. The record is from RNAcentral.